Cordylochernes scorpioides is the source of this 78-nucleotide non-coding RNA. The record is from the annotation of a GenBank genome assembly. NCBI's taxonomy places the organism in Eukaryota, Metazoa, Arthropoda, Arachnida, Pseudoscorpiones, Chernetidae.
AUCCUACAUGGUAGCCUAGUGGACAUGGCACCUGCCCGGUAAGCAGAAGGUUGUGGGUUCGAUUCCCGCCCCUGGACA